ACAUCCCGAAGUAUUGUCGAGCUGCCUAUUUUCUGUUGAGCACCCAAUCUAUAAUAUUAAAACAUUAUAACCAGAAAAACAUGCAGAGGCUACAUACCCCGCGAAAUACGAUAGCUGGUUUCACAACCCCCAAUAUAAGUUGGUGUAGUAAAACACUAUAUAAAAAUUAAAGGCUAAGCUUUAAUUUCCACUCUAUAUCGUCUUCCUAAUAAUUCAAUCUAGGCUUAAUAGCAGCCCACCGCUUCACCGCGACAAUUAUCUAUAACUACAAUAUUAAACCCAUUGCCCCCUAUAAGUGAACCCCCCAUUAUUAAUGGUAUUCAUAUAAUGUUAAAACAAAUAUUAUUUAAUUCAAUAUAUAACUAUAAUCUACUCAACCACAUAUACAUCAACACCACAUGAUUAGAAGGAACUCGGCAAAUACUAUUUUCGCCUGUUUAUCAAAAACAUCGCCUAUUGUAUACAUAAUAGGUCCAUCCUGCCCAGUGGAAACAUUCUUAACGGCCGCGGUACCCUGACCGUGCAAAGGUAGCAUAAUCACUUGCCCUUUAAUUGGGGGCUGGUAUGAAUGGACACACGAAAAUAUACUGUCUCCUAACCAAAAAUAGAAACUAGAACUCAAGUGAAGAUACUUGAAUAUCACUUCAAGACAAGAAGACCCUACAGAGCUUUAUUAACUAUGUAUUACACUAUCACACCACAACUUUCAUUAAUUUGGUUGGGAUGACCAAAGACCAGUAAAACCGUCUUUCUCAUUAUUGGACAACAAUCAAAUCACCCAUUACUGUACACGACGCAGCUACCUUAGGGAUAACAGGCUAAUCCCGCUAGAGAGAUCACAUUGACAGCGGGGGUUGGCACCUCGAUGUUGGCUUAGUGAACCCUCUGAGCGCAGCAGCCCAGACGAGUCGGUUUGUUCAACCGUUAAAACACUACAUGAGCUGAGUUCAGACCGGCGUAAGCCAGGUUAGCUUCUAUCUGCAGAAUCACAAUAUAAAUCACAGUACGAAAGGACCCGA
RNAcentral lists this ribosomal RNA (1019 nucleotides) under Namalycastis abiuma. RNAcentral's name for it is "16S ribosomal RNA". It matches the Rfam family "Bacterial large subunit ribosomal RNA", at positions 1492 to 2696 of the family's 2925-position model. Lineage: Eukaryota; Metazoa; Annelida; Polychaeta; Phyllodocida; Nereididae. The record is from RNAcentral.